RNAcentral lists this ribosomal RNA (525 nucleotides) under uncultured bacterium. RNAcentral describes it as "bacterial SSU rRNA". It matches the Rfam family "Bacterial small subunit ribosomal RNA", at positions 524 to 1050 of the family's 1533-position model. The record is from RNAcentral.
UACGUAGGUGGCGAGCGUUGUCCGGAAUUACUGGGUGUAAAGGGCGCGUAGGCGGGGAUGCAAGUUAGAUGUGAAAUACCGGGGCUCAACUCCGGGGCUGCAUCUAAAACUGUGUUUCUUGAGUGCUGGAGAGGGAAGCGGAAUUCCUAGUGUAGCGGUGAAAUGCGUAGAUAUUAGGAGGAACACCAGUGGCGAAGGCGGCUUCCUGGACAGCAACUGACGCUGAGGCGCGAAAGCACGGGUAGCAAACAGGAUUAGAUACCCUGGUAGUCCGUGCCGUAAACUAUGGAUACUAGGUGUAGGGGAUUUUAUAUUCUCUGUGCCGCAGUUAACACAAUAAGUAUCCCACCUGGGGAGUACGGCCGCAAGGUUGAAACUCAAAGGAAUUGACGGGGGCCCGCACAAGCAGUGGAGUAUGUGGUUUAAUUCGAAGCAACGCGAAGAACCUUACCAGGUCUUGACAUCCCUCGAAUAACAUAGAAAUAUGUUAGUCCUUCGGGACGAGGAGACAGGUGGUGCAUGGUU